This 492-nucleotide ribosomal RNA is filed under the name uncultured bacterium. Its description in RNAcentral is "partial 16S ribosomal RNA". It matches the Rfam family "Bacterial small subunit ribosomal RNA", at positions 29 to 507 of the family's 1533-position model. The record is from RNAcentral.
AGUGAACGCUGGCGGUAGGCCUAACACAUGCAAGUCGAACGGCAGCACAGUAAGAGCUUGCUCUUACGGGUGGCGAGUGGCGGACGGGUGAGGAAUACAUCGGAAUCUACUUUUUCGUGGGGGAUAACGUAGGGAAACUUACGCUAAUACCGCAUACGACCUACGGGUGAAAGCAGGGGAUCUUCGGACCUUGCGCGAUUGAAUGAGCCGAUGUCGGAUUAGCUAGUUGGCGGGGUAAAGGCCCACUAAGGCGACGAUCCGUAGCUGGUCUGAGAGGAUGAUCAGCCACACUGGAACUGAGACACGGUCCAGACUCCUACGGGAGGCAGCAGUCGGGAAUAUUGGACAACGGGCGCAAGCCUUAUCCAGCCAUAGCGCGUGGGUGAAGAAGGCCUUCGGGUUGGAAAGCCCUUUUGUUGGUAAAGAAAAGCAGCAGGUUAAUACCCCGCUGUCCUGACGGUACCCAAAGAAUAAGCACCGGCUAACUUCGUG